RNAcentral lists this ribosomal RNA (510 nucleotides) under uncultured bacterium. Its description in RNAcentral is "partial 16S ribosomal RNA". It matches the Rfam family "Bacterial small subunit ribosomal RNA", at positions 28 to 507 of the family's 1533-position model. The record is from RNAcentral.
GACGAACGCUGGCGGCGUGCUUAACACAUGCAAGUCGAACGAAGAGCGAUGGAAGCUUGCUUCUAUCAAUCUUAGUGGCGAACGGGUGAGUAACGCGUAAUCAACCUGCCCUUCAGAGGGGGACAACAGUUGGAAACGACUGCUAAUACCGCAUACGAUCUAAUCUCGGCAUCGAGGAUAGAUGAAAGGUGGCCUCUACAUGUAAGCUAUCACUGAAGGAGGGGAUUGCGUCUGAUUAGCUAGUUGGAGGGGUAACGGCCCACCAAGGCGAUGAUCAGUAGCCGGUCUGAGAGGAUGAACGGCCACAUUGGGACUGAGACACGGCCCAGACUCCUACGGGAGGCAGCAGUGGGGAAUCUUCCGCAAUGGACGAGAGUCUGACGGAGCAACGCCGCGUGAGUGAUGACGGCCUUCGGGUUGUAAAGCUCUGUUAAUCGGGACGAAAGGCCUUCUUGCGAAUAGUGAGAAGGAUUGACGGUACCGGAAUAGAAAGCCACGGCUAACUACGUG